AUCUGGCUCUUUCAGGGUCCGAGUUGUAAUUUUAAGAACUGUUUUCCGUGCUGGACCAUUUCUAAGUCUGUUGAAAAAUAGCAUCAUUGAGGGUGAUAAUCCCGUUCAUGAUAUGGACUACCAGUGCAAUGUGAUACAGUUUCUAAGAGUCGAGUUGUUUGGGAAUGCAGCUCAAAGUGGGUGGUAAAUUCCAUCUAAGGCUAAAUAUAGGUGAGAGACCGAUAGCAUACAAGUACCGUGAGGGAAAGAUGAAAAGAACUUUGGAAAGAGAGUUAACAGUACGUGAAAUUGUUGUAAGAGAAACAAUUAAAGUUAGCCUUGUGCUUGUUAGUUCAGCUCUUUAACUAGGGUGUAUUCUAAUGAUGUCACGGACCAACAUCAGUUCUUGGGUGCUGGAAAAGGGCUCCAGAAAUGUAGCAGUUUUGGCUGUGUUAUAGUCUGGGGUUUGGAUACAGUGCUUGGGACUGAGGAUAUCUGCAGCAAGC
RNAcentral lists this ribosomal RNA (485 nucleotides) under Phragmidium griseum. Its description in RNAcentral is "partial large subunit ribosomal RNA". It matches the Rfam family "Eukaryotic large subunit ribosomal RNA", at positions 120 to 607 of the family's 3401-position model. The record is from RNAcentral. Lineage: Eukaryota; Fungi; Basidiomycota; Pucciniomycetes; Pucciniales; Phragmidiaceae.